Molecule: unclassified non-coding RNA, 202 nt
Filed under: uncultured Trechispora
Lineage: Eukaryota; Fungi; Basidiomycota; Agaricomycetes; Polyporales; Polyporaceae
Description: sequence contains ITS2
Source: RNAcentral
AGUCAUCAACCCCUCCCGUUUCGUGCGGCGGAGGGUUGGAGCUGGGGGACUUGCCGCCGCGAGGCGGCUCCCCUCAAAUGCUUCGGUUGGGCCUGUGGGUCGAACUCGACUGGGCGUUGUACCAUCCUCGCUCGACAGAGACGUUCCCCUCUCGCGCCCGACCUCGACCUGCCUCCAGAGCGGCGGUCAAAGCAACUUUGAA